CGUGCCUAAAACAUGCAAGUCGAACGAGAGCUUCGGCUCUAGUGGCGAACGGCGGAGUAAUACGUAAGGAACGUGCCCCUAAGACUGGGAUAGUCGGGAGAAAUCCCGUUCAAUACCGGAUGUGGCAACAGAAUCGCAUGAUUUUGUUACUAAAUGGUGAAAAUCGCUUAGGGAGCGCCUUACGGCCUAUCAGCUUGUUGGUGUGGUAAUGGCUUACCAAGGCUAUGACGGGUAGGGGGUCUGAGAGGAUUAUCCCCCCGAGUGGGACUGAGACACGGCCCACACACCUACGGGUGGCAGCAGUUGGGAAUCUUGCACAAUGGGGGAAACCCUGAUGCAGCGACGCCGCGUGGAGGAUGACGGGCUUCGGUCUGUAAACUCCUUUUAUCAGGAAAGACUUAGGACGGUACCUGAAGAAUAAGCUCCGGCUAACUACGUGCCAGCAGCCGCGGUGAUACGUAGGGAGCAAGCGCUGUCCGGAUUUACUGGGCGUAAAGGGCGCGUAGGCGGUCUGUUAAGUGUGAAGUGAAAUCUCCAGGGCUCAACCCGGAAACUGCUUUGCAAACUGGCAGACUAAAGGAAGGAAGAGGUGAAUGGAAUUCCCGGUGUACCGGUGACA
RNAcentral lists this ribosomal RNA (619 nucleotides) under uncultured bacterium. Its description in RNAcentral is "bacterial SSU rRNA". It matches the Rfam family "Bacterial small subunit ribosomal RNA", at positions 43 to 686 of the family's 1533-position model. The record is from RNAcentral.